RNAcentral lists this ribosomal RNA (808 nucleotides) under Septoria sp. RNAcentral's name for it is "partial large subunit ribosomal RNA". It matches the Rfam family "Eukaryotic large subunit ribosomal RNA", at positions 72 to 909 of the family's 3401-position model. The record is from RNAcentral. Lineage: Eukaryota; Fungi; Ascomycota; Dothideomycetes; Mycosphaerellales; Mycosphaerellaceae.
GGAUUGCCCUAGUAACGGCGAGUGAAGCGGCAACAGCUCAAAUUUGAAAUCUGGCGCAAGCCCGAGUUGUAAUUUGUAGAGGAUGCUUCUGGGUAGCGACCGAUCUAAGUUCCUUGGAACAGGACGUCAUAGAGGGUGAGAAUCCCGUAUGUGACCGGCCCGCACCCUUUACGUAGCUCCUUCGACGAGUCGAGUUGUUUGGGAAUGCAGCUCUAAAUGGGAGGUAAAUUUCUUCUAAAGCUAAAUACCGGCCAGAGACCGAUAGCGCACAAGUAGAGUGAUCGAAAGAUGAAAAGUACUUUGGAAAGAGAGUUAAAAAGCACGUGAAAUUGUUGAAAGGGAAGCGCCUGCAACCAGACUUCGCGGCAGUGUUCCGCCGGUCUUCUGACCGGUUCAUUCUCUGUCGCGAGGCCAUCAUCGUCUGGGCCCGCCGGAUAAGACCUUAGGAAUGUAGCUCACCUUCGGGGGAGUGUUAUAGCCUAGGGUGAUGCGGCGAGGCUCGGGCGAGGUCCGCGCUUCGGCAAGGAUGAUGGCGUAAUGGUUGUCGGCGGCCCGUCUUGAAACACGGACCAAGGAGUCUAACAUCUAUGCGAGUGUUCGGGUGUCAAACCCCUACGCGUAAUGAAAGUGAACGGAGGUGGGAACCGCAAGGUGCACCAUCGACCGAUCCUGAUGUCCUCGGAUGGAUUUGAGUAAGAGCAUAGCUGUUGGGACCCGAAAGAUGGUGAACUAUGCCUGAAUAGGGUGAAGCCAGAGGAAACUCUGGUGGAGGCUCGCAGCGGUUCUGACGUGCAAAUCGAUCGUCAAA